This is a long non-coding RNA of Silurus meridionalis, 466 nucleotides long. RefSeq lists it as uncharacterized. NCBI's taxonomy places the organism in Eukaryota, Metazoa, Chordata, Actinopteri, Siluriformes, Siluridae. The record is from RefSeq and is a predicted model, not a curated record. The transcript has 3 exons.
UUUUUUUUUUUUUACAAGCUGUAGUUAUCCUCUUGAGGACCAGCCCAUCAGGUCUAAAAUAUCAGAUACUGUAUUCAAAACCUUGUGAACACACGCACACACACACACACACACACACACACACGACAUUCAGUUUUCCUCUAGCCCUUUACUGUAUGAUCACGAGCACCGAAGCGUUGCUUCUCCUUUUCAUAAACCGCCAUCAUUUCCACCAUCAUGGUUAUUGUCAUGUAUUAACAUCCUUACAUAACAUCUGCAUCGGAUUUCAGCUGCCAUAUGAGAACAGGGGAGGGAAACUGCAGUGAUUUUGGAUUGCACCCGAAGCAAAAAGCCGAGUAUCACUGAAAAAAUCAUUAUGGAAUUGGAUAAACUGCACCGACAAUACAAGACUAACCAGAGGAACAUACAUGGACGGUUUUAAUUGAAGGAUGUGUGCAUCAUGGUGGAUUGUGUUGCCUGAAUUAAU